RNAcentral lists this ribosomal RNA (540 nucleotides) under uncultured bacterium. RNAcentral describes it as "bacterial SSU rRNA". It matches the Rfam family "Bacterial small subunit ribosomal RNA", at positions 355 to 896 of the family's 1533-position model. The record is from RNAcentral.
UGAGGAAUAUUGGUCAAUGGGCGAGAGCCUGAACCAGCCAAGUAGCGUGCAGGAUGACGGCCCUAUGGGUUGUAAACUGCUUUUGUAUGGGGAUAAAGUCAAUCACGUGUGAUUGUUUGCAGGUACCAUACGAAUAAGGACCGGCUAAUUCCGUGCCAGCAGCCGCGGUAAUACGGAAGGUCCGGGCGUUAUCCGGAUUUAUUGGGUUUAAAGGGAGCGUAGGCUGGAGAUUAAGUGUGUUGUGAAAUGUAGACGCUCAACGUCUGACUUGCAGCGCAUACUGGUUUCCUUGAGUACGCACAACGUUGGCGGAAUUCGUCGUGUAGCGGUGAAAUGCUUAGAUAUGACGAAGAACUCCGAUUGCGAAGGCAGCUGACGGGAGCGCAACUGACGCUGAAGCUCGAAGGUGCGGGUAUCGAACAGGAUUAGAUACCCUGGUAGUCCGCACAGUAAACGAUGGAUGCCCGCUGUUGGUACUUGGUAUCAGCGGCUAAGCGAAAGCAUUAAGCAUCCCACCUGGGGAGUACGCCGGCAACGGUG